AUCUACUUCAUAAAUUGCAAAUAUGACAAUAUUAUCCUUCCAAAAUAAGAAAGGAAGCAACAUAGAAAGAUUAUCGAAAAUAAAUUAAACGUUGAUUGAUGCGACGGCAAAAGAAAUACAAUACAUAGCAAUGAAAUUAGGAAAUAAUGACAAACGGGCGAUCAUCUAGUACAAGAAGACUGCAUUAGAUUCAUGAUAAGAAUGCUUAUCUUGUUGACUGCAUUACUUUUCUUUUCAACCUGCAACACAAACAUGUCACCAACAUGAUUGCUGCACCAUUACAUCAUACUGAUUACGUAUUAAAAUUUCAUUCAAAACAUAAGCAGUAGUUAUUACCAGAGAGAACCGUAUACCUUUUUCUUCUCCAUUUCAACAAUCAGAAUAUUAAGAAUUAACAAAAAAAGAAAAUCAGUCCUAUGAUGAGGAUGGUGAGUAUAUUAUUUAUAUUAGAAUUUUUUGCCCUUUUCUUUAAAGGGACACUAGCAGUCAAUAUUGAUAAUGAACUGUAUGUAAGUGGAGGAUAUAAAAAUCAGGGUACAAAACCGUUAUAUUAUGAUAUUUUUACAUAUGAAACUGUUGUGCUGGUGCUAUUUCGACUCUUUAUACCACUGCUAUAUCGACAUUACGAGUAGUGUACAAGUAUAUAAUUCUAGGCAGAAAACACCGGGACACCCAGUCAGCACAAAACAUAGAUUCUGCUCAGAACAACACGCCUGAUAAUGAUUUUGUGCUGUUCCAAAUUGCUGCCCAAACUGUUUGAUCAAAUGCAACUUUUGCAGGGACUACGUACCGAACGAAUCCUGAUAAUCAUUGCUUGACCAAUGCUUCAGAUGCAGAUCCGUCAUAAUCGAUUUAUUGCAAUCCCAGAAUUCUUUUCAUCUCUUUCACAUCCUUCCGAUACUCCCGGACCCUACGAACCGUUCGUGGCAAGUGUCUCACACUCGAUGCAGCAAAUUUCAAGCAAAACUUAGCUUUUAACCAAUUCUCCAUUUCCACAAUGCCUAGAUAUUCCAAUCCCUCGAGCCCUUUCACUGUCUUCAGCUGUGAGCAUCCCUUCAGAUUCAAAUCCCACAGGUUCUUCAGACCAGACAUGUCUGGCAACUCCUUCAAAGAUUUGCAACCUAACAUGUUCAACUUCCUUAACAUCCCCAAAUUCUCUAAACCUGUGACCUUAACCAACUCUCUGCAUUCACUUACGUCCAAAUCAUCCAAAUCCUCCAACCCGGAUACAUCUGGAAGCUCCCGAAUCGACCAACAUCCAGACAGAUUCAGCUUCUGCAACGAUCCCAGUCUGCCGAGGCAUGUGACCUCGACCAACAGUACGCACCCGCUGACAUCGAGCUCCACCAAAUUCUUGAGGCCCGACACAUCAGCCAGCCUCCUGACUGACUUGCAACCUCUCAUUUGUAACGUCGCCAACGAUUUCAGCCUCUCGAGGCCAGUCACUUCGACCAGCUGUAUGCACCCACUGACAUCGAGAGUCUCCAGGUUCUCGAGGCCCGAUACGUCAGCCAGCCUCCUGACUGACUUGCAACCCCUCAUUUGUAACGUCUCCAACGAUUUCAGCCUCUCGAGGCCAGUCACUUCGACCAGCUGUAUGCACCCACUGACAUCGAGAGUCUCCAGGUUCUCGAGGCCCGAUACGUCAGCCAGCCUCCUGACUGACCUGCAGGCCUUAAUUUCUAGCGUUUGUAACGAUUUCAGACUCUCGAGCCCUGUGACCACAGCGGGCAUGUGUCUCCACCCUGUGACCUGCAGUUGUUUCAGUUCUUGGAGACGCGAGAGGUCCGGAAAUCGUUCGAGUUGAACAAGAUACUGGCGUAAAACGUGGGGGAUAUGACUGUCAUCGUCUUGCACCACGGCCAGAAACCACUGGUCGUCAUCC
RNAcentral lists this long non-coding RNA (1885 nucleotides) under Linum usitatissimum (flax). RNAcentral's name for it is "long non-coding RNA (LUSI_LNC007778)". Lineage: Eukaryota; Viridiplantae; Streptophyta; Magnoliopsida; Malpighiales; Linaceae. The record is from RNAcentral.